UGGGUUGUGGCUCAGCGGUAGAGCGCUUGCCUGGCAUAGCAAAGCCCUGGGUUCGAUCCUCAGCACCACAU
RNAcentral lists this transfer RNA (71 nucleotides) under Ictidomys tridecemlineatus (thirteen-lined ground squirrel). Its description in RNAcentral is "Spermophilus tridecemlineatus (thirteen-lined ground squirrel) tRNA". It matches the Rfam family "tRNA". Rfam says of the family: Transfer RNA (tRNA) molecules are approximately 80 nucleotides in length. Their secondary structure includes four short double-helical elements and three loops (D, anti-codon, and T loops). Further hydrogen bonds mediate the characteristic L-shaped molecular structure. tRNAs have two regions of fundamental functional importance: the anti-codon, which is responsible for specific mRNA codon recognition, and the 3' end, to which the tRNAs corresponding amino acid is attached (by aminoacyl-tRNA synthetases). tRNAs cope with the degeneracy of the genetic code in two manners: having more than one tRNA (with a specific anti-codon) for a particular amino acid; and 'wobble' base-pairing, i.e. permitting non-standard base-pairing at the 3rd anti-codon position. The record is from Rfam by way of RNAcentral. Lineage: Eukaryota; Metazoa; Chordata; Mammalia; Rodentia; Sciuridae.